Spodoptera frugiperda (fall armyworm) is the source of this 1262-nucleotide RNA transcript. RefSeq lists it as uncharacterized. The transcript is spliced from 6 exons. Lineage: Eukaryota; Metazoa; Arthropoda; Insecta; Lepidoptera; Noctuidae. The record is from RefSeq and is a predicted model, not a curated record.
UCGUUUAUUAAUAUUUUAAACCGAUUAAUCGUACGGUACCCUACAAUACCGAUAACAAUAAAACAAUUUGGCUUUGUAUCAUAAACUAAAGUGAACGAAGGAGUCAUCGGUCCAAUACAGUUUUGAGCAGAAUCAUAACAAGCCUGGAAGUAAUCGACGCCGUUAAGCAAAACAUUACUGGCAGCUAAACAACCAGUUGAGCGAAGAGUACCAUACAGUCAACAUUGCCCCACGCUUCCAAUAAUAAAUAAUUAAAAUAAAAAAAUCAUUUAAUCGUAUAUUAAUAAUUAUUAUUAAUAUAAUAGUAAUCAUACAACAAAAAUUGGAUUGGAGGUUGAACAAAUUAUUUUUUAUUUUUAUUUAGCCAAAUAUAAAAUGUUAUGUGAAAAUAGUUGAUUACGGGAUGUGAUAUUGAAGAAAGGAAAUGUAUCGCAGGAUUAUUUUCGUAUUUGCGAUCUCCAUCGUCAUUACUUUACAGACGACAGAUUUCCAAGAUAACCUAAUAAAUGGCUACCGAGCACUGAUUGCGGACAUUCAGGUCCGAACACAGAAAUCCCGAGAGGAUAUGGACACGCUCGUGUCCCAAAUAAAACUACUAAUGAAGAAUGAGGCAGAUAAAGCCAUUAACUACAUGACUGUAUACCUCGAACAAAUCUCUUUGUACUUCCAGGUGAUAAUACACGACCGUAAGCCUCGGAACGGAACGUAUUGCAAAGAGAGCAUAGUUAAGCUGCUCGGAGAAAAUUUGCAGCUGGCGGACGAAAAUGUCACAUUAUGCCUGGCGCUCGGCUACCAAAGAGUACAGAGAUUACCAGAAAAACUCCAAGUUCACUUCGAAACAUUGGAGAAUUUGAAGAAGUAUUCAGCUUCAAAGUUAUUUGAAUGCCAGAAACAACAGCAAGUUGGUGGAAACUGUUCCCAUGAGAGUCAAGAUCUUGAGAGGACUGUUUUCUUAUACGAAACAUCACCGUUCCCGGUGGUGAUGGCCGAAAUAGCAAUCCACGGCUUCAAAGAAGUAUCAGACCUAAGUGUGUGUCUCAAAGAUAUCAUCUCUAGAAUGAUGACACACUCCGUCAAGGUCAUCGGAGACUUCAACAGAUGCAUCCACAACAUAGAAAUGCCAAAACUGAAAUAUUUACUCAAGUUUAUGAAGAAAUAUGCUUGAUAUGUUGCGUACUUGAUUCCGAUAGGGUUGCCCAUUUUUAUGUUACUCAAUGAUAUAUGGCUCAAAUUAAAAACUGAUCUAAAUCCAAAAAAAUCAC